Monodelphis domestica (gray short-tailed opossum) is the source of this 9068-nucleotide RNA transcript. It is a transcript of the gene named RNA binding motif protein 26, with no coding region annotated. The record is from RefSeq and is a predicted model, not a curated record. Lineage: Eukaryota; Metazoa; Chordata; Mammalia; Didelphimorphia; Didelphidae.
CUCGCGAGGCUUGCCGGCAGCCAUCUUCUUGGGGGUGCUGAGAGCCGGGGAGCCCCCGGAAUCGUUUUCCAUUGAGUACUCGCGCGUUCCUUCGUCUUCCUCUCUUCCGCCUUCUCCGUUUUGUCAGCACCCCAACCCAGGGAGCCCCCGCGGCGGGGAGGGCUGCCAGGGGCUACGCGCGCGUCCCCUUUCCUGACCCGGGGAGCGCUGGGCGCAGAACCGGGAAGGGGGAGGGCCCAGGGAAACCGCCGCGGCCGCUGCCUCCGCCCCGGCAAGGGGCUGCUUGUGCUAGGGAAAGGGAACGGGAGGGGGGGAGGGGAGCUCGGGCGGCACCCUGAGGUGCCCGCGGCCUCGGGUGGUGCCCCGCGUACCUUCUCGCUGAGCGGGGUGCGCGGGAUCCUGCCACCGGCGCCGCCCACCGCGGCCCACGCGGGCGGCGGCGCGCGGAGGGGGGAGGCAGCGGGGGCAGGGGCAGCAGCGGUAGCAGGGUCCUGGCGUGGGCAGGCAGGGAGGGAGAGACACGGGCCGUGGGCCACAUUGGAUGGUUUCUAAAAUGAUCAUCGAAAACUUCGAAGCGCUCAAAUCCUGGCUCAGCAAGACCCUCGAGCCUAUCUGUGAUGCUGACCCAUCAGCUCUAGCUAAAUAUGUCCUUGCUUUGGUAAAAAAGGAUAAAAGUGAAAAAGAGCUGAAGGCAUUAUGUAUUGAUCAACUGGAUGUAUUUCUUCAGAAGGAGACGCAGAUAUUUGUAGAAAAACUUUUUGAUGCUGUGAAUACGAAGAGCUACCUACCUCCACCUGAACAACCAUCAUCAGGAAGUCUAAAGGUAGAAUUUUUUCAACACCAAGAAAAAGAUAUAAAAAAGGACGAGGAGAAUGAUCUUCAGACUGGAAAGGAUAGAACAAACAUGGUUAAAAGGGAUUUGGAGCCAAAGAUAGGUGAGGAGAUAGUGAGAGAGCACCUAGCGACUCUAAAUGAGUUCAAGUCUCCUGGCCUGGACGAAUUACACCCUAGGGUGCUGAAAGAACUCACAGAUGUGAUCGCUGAACCGCUGUCGGUGAUCUUUGAUGAAUCGUGGAGAACGGGAGAGGUGCCGCGGGACUGGAGACGGGCAAAUGUCCCAAUUUUCAAAAAGGGGAAGAAGGUGGAUUCCACAAACUACAGACCGAUUACAAAGGAGGAAGAACGAGAGAAGAAAUUUUCUAGAAGGUUAAAUCAUAGUCCUCCCCAGUCAAGUUCCCGGUACAGAGAAAAUAGGAGCCGUGAUGACAGGAAAAAAGAUGAUCGUUCUCGAAAAAGAGACUAUGACCGAAAUCCACCUCGAAGAGAUUCCUAUAGAGACCGGUACAAUAGAAGAAGAGGGCGGAGCCGAAGUUAUAGUCGAAGUCGCAGUCGGAGUUGGAGUAAAGAGCGGUUGCGAGACAGAGAUAGAGACAGAAGCAGAACUAGAAGCCGAAGUCGAACACGAAGCAGAGAAAGAGAUCUGGGAAAACCAAAAUAUGACCUGGAUAGAACAGAUCCAUUAGAAAACAACUAUACUCCAGUUUCUUCUGUAACUAACAUUUCGUCUGGCCACUACCCUGUUCCUACUUUGAGCAGUACUAUUACUGUUAUUGCUCCUACUCACCAUGGUAAUAACACUACAGAAAGCUGGUCUGAAUUUCAUGAAGACCAGGUGGACCAUAACUCUUAUGUAAGACCUCCAAUGCCAAAGAAACGUUGCCGAGAUUAUGAUGAAAAGGGAUUCUGUAUGAGAGGAGACAUGUGCCCUUUUGAUCAUGGAAGUGACCCUGUAGUAGUAGAAGAUGUAAACCUUCCUGGCAUGCUGCCUUUCCCAGCACAACCCCCUGUUGUUGAAGGACCACCUCCUCCUGGACUUCCCCCCCCUCCACCAAUUCUGACACCUCCACCUGUGAAUCUUAGACCUCCUGUGCCACCUCCAGGUCCAUUACCACCUAGCCUUCCUCCAGUCACAGGACCACCGCCUCCACUUCCUCCUUUGCAGCCAUCUGGUAUGGAUGCUCCUCCAAAUUCUGCAACCAGUUCUGUUCCCACUGUAGUAACAACGGGUAUUCAUCACCAGCCUCCGCCUGCACCACCCUCUCUCUUUACAGCAGUUUUUGUAUUACCAGAUACAUAUGACACAGAUGGCUAUAAUCCUGAAGCCCCAAGCAUAACAAACACUUCCAGACCUAUGUAUAGACACAGAGUGCAUGCUCAAAGGCCUAAUUUGAUAGGACUUACUUCAGGAGAUAUGGAUCUGCCACCCAGAGAAAAGCCUCCUAAUAAAAGCAGUAUGAGGAUAGUGGUCGAUUCAGAGUCAAGAAAAAGAACCAUUGGAUCAGGGGAACCUGGAGUUCCUGCUAAGAAGACUUGGUUUGACAAGCCAAACUUUAAUAGAACAAACAGCCCAGGUUUCCAAAAGAAGGUUCAGUUUGGAAAUGAAAAUACCAAACUUGAACUCAGGAAGGUUCCUCCAGAAUUGAAUAAUAUCAGCAAACUUAAUGAACAUUUCAGCCGAUUUGGAACUUUGGUUAACUUACAGGUUGCCUAUCAUGGUGAUCCUGAAGGUGCACUUAUCCAAUUUGCAACAUAUGAAGAAGCAAAAAAAGCAAUCUCUAGUACAGAAGCAGUGUUCAAUAAUCGUUUUAUUAAAGUCUAUUGGCACCGAGAGGGGGCUGCCCAGCAACUGCAAACAGCUUCCCAGAAAGUUAUACAACCUUUAGUCCAGCAACCCAGUUUGCCUGUUGUCAAGCAGUCUGUGAAAGAACGAUUAGGUCCUGUACCUUCAAGUAAUAUUGAACCUACAGAAGCCCAAAGUGCUGGUCCAGAUAUUCCUCAGAAUGUAACUAAGUUAUCUGUGAAGGACAGGUUGGGUUUUGUAUCAAAGCCAUCUGUUUCAGCAACUGAAAAGGUGUUGUCCACUUCUACUGGCCUCACAAAAACAGUGUACAAUCCAGCUGCUUUGAAAGCUGCACAGAAAUCUUUGCCUGCUGUUUCCAUCUCUACAUUAGAUAACAGCGAAGCACAGAAAAAAAAACAGGAAGCACUAAAACUUCAACAGGAUGUGAGAAAGAAGAAGCAAGAGAUUUUAGAAAAGCACAUUGAAACACAGAAGAUGUUAAUUUCAAAACUGGAGAAAAACAAAGCAAUGAAGUCUGAAGAUAAGGCAGAAAUAAUGAAAACUUUGGAGGCUUUGACAAAUAGCAUUACUAAAUUAAAAGAUGAAUUGAAAGCUGUUUCAUCUGGAAGCUCUCUUCCCAAAAGCGUGAAAACCAAAGCUCAGAUGCAGAAAGAAUUACUGGACACAGAACUGGAUUUGUAUAAGAAGAUGCAGGCUGGAGAAGAAGUUACUGAACUUAGGAGAAAAUAUACAGAACUACAGCUUGAAGCUGCAAAAAGAGGGAUUCUUUCAACUGGUCGAGGUCGAGGAAUUCAUUCCAGAGGUCGAGGUACAAUUCGUGGCAGAGGAAGGGGUCGUGGUCGAGGGAGAGGUGUUCCUGGUCAUGCUGUGGUAGACCAUCGCCCACGAGCAUUAGAGAUCUCUGCAUUUACUGAGAGUGAUAGAGAAGACCUUCUUCCCCAUUUUGCGCAAUAUGGUGAAAUCGAAGAUUGUCAGAUUGAUGACUCCUCUCUUCAUGCCGUAAUUACAUUCAAGACAAGAGCAGAAGCAGAAGCAGCUGCAAUUCAUGGAUCUCGUUUCAAAGGGCAAGAUCUUAAACUGGCCUGGAAUAAGCCUGUAAUAAACAUGUCAGCUGUUGAAGCAGAAGAAGUUGAACCUGAUGAGGAGGAAUUUCAGGAAGAGUCUUUGGUGGAUGACUCAUUGCUUCAAGAUGAUGAUGAAGAGGAAGAGGACAAUGAAUCUCGUUCAUGGAGAAGAUGAUUUGACUCAUCAUUGAUCUGCAAAUGCUAGGACUCUACCUGUGUUUCAUUAGUAUUACCUAAUGUACUUUUACAUAUUUGUAAAAACAAUUUUUGGUAAAAUGUGAUGAAGAUGGAUUUCAAAAAAAUAGACUAAAGAGAAGAAACUACCUUCUGAUCCUGUAUUUUGAAAGAUUUCUGUUUGAGUUUUAUUUCAGUAAACAAUUGCUAAAGACAUCACACUAGAAACAUAUGCAAUGUUUUUAUUACAUACUUCUACUGAGCGUUACAGAAUUCUUUGGGUUCUUUGUAAUUUAAUGAAUAGGUCUGAAAAAUAUAUGACCAAUACUUGUUAUAACUUAGAAGAUUUUUGUUUUAUUCCAAAGUAUCAAAUGGAUUUGCAUUAAAAUCUUAAAUGAAUGUUUCCAAAAAUGAAUAGAUAACAUAGUACUAAAGUCUCCAAGUUAUGUAUUCAUAAUAUUGCAUAGUAUUAUGCUUAGGCUUUACUAUGUACUAGCCUUUUGUUUAACUUGUGUAUGUAUUUUACAAAUGGGUUUUAAUGAUAACGGUGUAUGACUGCUUUGCAUAUAAAUCCUUAUGACUUUGAGAUGUUUGAAAAAAUAAAGUGGAAUGGUCUCUUUAAAAAAAAAAGAAAAAGAAAAAAGCAAUAACCAAAAAAAGCUAAGGCAAUGUUCCCUAAUUUAAAAAAAAAAGAAAGAAAGAAAGAAAAGAAAAGAAAAAAACUAAAAUAAAAAAGACCAUUCCAAAUGGUGAACCACCCCUUCCCCCAGUAUUCACAAAAGGAGCUAUAAUCACUAAUUUAUUCAUAACAAUAGUUUAAUGGUACCUUUACAAUAAUGUAUAAUCUGAUGCCUAAAAUAUAUAGCACUUCGGUUUGGUUUGAUCCUUUAAAUUUUCAACAGAUGUCAAAAUUAAAAAACAAAAACAGGCUGAUUAGUUUGGAACCACACUUCAAGUAGACCUAAUAUUUGAUGAAUAAGAAAACCAUCAGAUUACUAUUUGGAUAUAUGAAAGAAAACUUGACCAUGUGAAGAUAAAUGAAUAAAGAAAUGUACUAUAAAUUAGUACUUAGGAAAACAUUGUUUGGUAAGUACACCAGCCUCAAAAUUUUUAUAGUGUACAUUUGUUGUACCUUUAUAAAUAUCUUUGGCUUUCAUAAAAUCUUUACUUCAGAACAUUCUUUGUGGAGACAUAGUCCAAUUAUCAAAAUUUAUAUAGUAAACACAGGUUAUAGAAACAUGUCAUUUGGAAACUGAAAGGAGAAAAAUCUAAUUAUAUUUAUUUCCUUUUAGUGAUUUAAGUAUUUCCUCUUCCUCUUAAACUGAGAUUCUUUCAAGCUCAGAAUGUUUUUUGGUUCUUGCCAUUUUAGAAGGUUAGUUCUCAAAAACCUUAUUCAUUAAAAAAGAUUAUAAGAAAGGGAAGAGAUGUCCUGAGGUCCAGAGAUACCUACUAAGAAUUUUCAUUCUAUAGAUUUUGCUUCCAUUGAAUUAUAAUACAAUGGAAGGUCACCCUAGGUUCUCAAAACCUCUCUUGCAUUCUAUGACCAGCAUAGCUAAACUCAGAGAGGUUCAUAAUCCAGAAGGUUGGCUACCAAGCCCCAAAUAUUUUUUCAGCUACAACCAGCUCAUGUUAAUCUUAUAAUAAAUUAUAGAGGUAUUGUGAUUGGCAUUGGUGAAAGCAAUAACCAGACUAUUUAAAAUCUCCACUUUUUAAUGUAUAAUUCCUUAGGAAACUUAAGCAGUUUUAGAAUUAUAUGCUAGUUCCUUUUUUUUCCCUCUGCCACCUUUUCCUGACUUACUCUUCUCUUUUCCUACCAUCCAUCCCAUUUGUACACUGUAAUAGAAGUGAGUGUAUGUAUGUAUGUGUGUAUAUAUACACAUACAAAUAUAUUAUAUAAUUCGGUUAAUGGUACUAUAUAUUUGAACAUUUUGACUUCAAAUUUGGCAUGCUAACUUUAGAUUUAGAUGUUUAAUAUUUCUCCCCAAACUUUCAUAUAUAUAUAUAUAUUUACUAUAUUUAGAUCUGUGGUAUACUUAUACAUGAAAUUGUUAUUUGGUCUGUGCUUGUGCUAUUCUGGUUCAUUAGGUAAGUGUGUUCUUUUUUCUUUCUUUUUCUUUCUUUUUUUUUUUAAUUUUAGUAGUCAUGAAAGAUGCCAAAUUGACAGAGGCACAAGUUCCUUCUCUUUGCACCAAACAGUGAGAACUACAUUGAAACAGCCCUAGAAAUUGUCAUGAGCAGAGUUCUAUGAACAUUGGCCGAACUUUAGCUUAGAGGCUACAUUGGCAAGAUUUGUUCCUGUCUGGAAGAAGACCAUUAUAAUAUGAUGUGAUAUCCAUUGUAUGCUUGUCUCCUGUUAACUUGAAUUAAUGUUUGCUUUUGACAAGUUGGCAUCUGUUCAUUGGUAGUAUGAAAGGUCACAACUAUUUUUUAACCAUCCCAUGUCUGAAUGAGUUUUGUCAUUGGUUAACAUCUUUGAUUAAACAACUUCAACGUUCUGGGUACUUAUGUUCUCCCUUUUAAAACCCGUUUGCUUUUACUGCAAACACAUAAGGGAAAAACUAUUAACUUUGUUUCCUAAUCAGAUAUGUUAAACGUCAGUCAAGUUGGAAGGAGCUUUUUUUAAUGAAGUCUGACUGCACAGUCAUUCUUUUUUUUUUCUGAGCAAUUAGGAAUAUGAAAAUAAAAAAAACUUAAAGUGAUAGUAGGUAUGGGGUUGGUUUGGAUUUUUUGAGUUUUCUCAAUAGGAUCUGUUUCUGCAGUUAGGAUAAUGACUAUAGGUUAUUAAGAUUUAAGAACUUGACAGAAUUUCCCAAAAAUGCCAAAAUGGCUUACCUGGAGAAUGUUUCUGAGUUAUUAAUCUUUCAGAAUAGAGAGUAACUUCACUGUCAUUUCCAGGGACAUAUAACCUAGAAACUCAUAAAUAUUUUGAAGGGUCAGAUUAACAUCCACAUAUUUUGAGGGGUUUUUCAUUAAAGACUGAAUCCUAACAGACACUGAAGUCAACUUAUUGUUUUUAAAAGAUUAUAUGCCAUUUCUGUUUCUAGAAGUGUAUAUUUUGCAUAGUUUCAGUAUUGAGUUUUUUGCUAGAUUAAAAUAACACAGUAUUCUUAUAUAAAAUUUCAUUUAAAACCCCAGAAUGUUUUAAAAGUAGAAUAUUUAAAAUAGUGUUCCCUGGAUAAGUAUUUCUCUAUAAGCUUGUUUAAGGUUGAAACUGCACAUAUCAGGAUGUCAGAGAGAAGAACUCUAAAUGACUUUCCAAUUCCUUUUACCAUGCUGUUACCUAAUUCACUUGCUACACAAAGACUGCUAGGAAAACUCUCAGGUUUUUUUUGUCUUAUUAUUGCCUAACUAAUAAAAAAAGAUGCAUAAAUGUAAAAAAUAAGAAUUUUGAAAAUAUUUGUCAUAUUAUGGGCAGGUCUUAUUUUGAAAAUAUUUGUCAUAUUAUGGGCAAGUUAUUAAUACUGAUUUGCAAUAGUGGAAAAUGUGAUAUACUUAGGUUAAGAGACUAAAUAAAGUGCCUAUUUUAGAUGGCCAUCAAGUGAAUUUUAAUUAUAGCCAUUGACUUAGCCUACAUUUGUGAAUCAGCAGAUAGUCCAUAACUCAAAGUACUAAUGCAGUUUAGGCAAGAUAGCUGGUGAUUUAGGGGUUUUAUUCUAAAUAAAAAUUUGGACACAACAAGGAACCAGAUAUUUCUGAUUGUUUGCUUGCCGUUCCGUUUUGACUUUUGAGCUGGGCAUUUUCUGUAUGAUCAGUGUUUUUUGUUACUAGUUUUAGCUGUAUCUAAUUAUUGAAAAGUAACAAUAUUAUCAAAGGACGAGGGUUUGCUUUAAUCAAUAUAUUUCAACAGGAUUCUCAUAAAACUGUAGAUAACUGCACAAAAUCAUUUUUAUUUAGUCGAUUGAAGUAAUUUAUCUCCACAUGACUGAGUCAUAAGUUUUUUUGUCUUAAAAUUUUUAAUGCAUUAUUUUACACUUUUAGUUUCUAUAGCCAUGUUGCAUGUAUUUCUGUUUACAUUUUUAUGUAGUGGGUUUCAAAACAUUUUGGACUCACAAAAUAAAAAUAUAUACAGUUUUUACAAACUGCAGGUAUCUUGAUCUGAAUUAAUAACUUCUAUCUUGUUUGAAAAAUAAUUAUUAGUUCAUAUCUGAGAUUUCCACAGAAACAUCAGAACAAAUUUUGUUGGUGCUACAUACCACCUUCCAAUAUUUUCUUUUGAUUCAAAUUCCAUCACUCAUUGACUUCAGCAUGCUCUUAGAAGAAAUAUCCUAUAAAAACAACAUUUUAUGUAGCUACUCAGUUUGUAAGUUUGUGUAGUGUUCAGCUUUCUGAACACCCAAUAAAGGUACAAAAGGUAAUAAUGCAAAAAAUGACAGGAAAUUUCUUAAGUUUGUUAUUAGUGUUAAAUUUUCCAAGAGGUAAGAGGUGUUAAAUCUGAUCUGAUUCCAAAUAGAAAAAUAGCUCUUUGGCUGAACCUCCUACCAGCAAAUUAGUAAUAAUGUUUAUUUUUUCCCUUAAACUAUUAUGUAACAUUACAUUCUAUGCAUUUAUUAGUUCAUACAAUGGUAGUUCCUGAGUAGAUAUUUUUUUAAAACUGUGAUGAACCAGAGGGGUAUAAGAAAUUCAUUUGUAUGUUAUGUUUUUUAAAGAAUUCUCAAUCCAAACCUUUGCAAAGAAUGUUUUCACAAAUAAUUUUUUAGCGAUCAGUAAAACAUGAAUGUUAAACUUAAUGAUAUUUACAAUCCUAAACUGUGUGGUAUGUUAAAAUAUUUUACACAGACAUUUUUUCCUGAUUUUUUAAAAUUAAAAGUCUCAACUCAGAUUCUGUGGAUUGAUGAAUUCUGUAUUCACGAAUGUCUUAUUUCAAGAAGGUACUCUAGCAUGGGAAAAUAUUCCCUGCUUUUGAGAGGAGCAAAAGUAAUUGGUUAAGCUGUACCAGCUUUUUUUUCUUUUUUUUUUUCUUUCUCUUUUUUUUGGUUGGGGGCUGGGGGAAGGGAGGAAGGGUUGUGUUAAAAAAUGAUAACUUGAACUAGAAUAUUAAUCUUAUUUGCUUAAAAGAUAGUAUUACAUGUUUGUUCAGUUAUGUCACUGUUUUUUGUUAUUUAUAGCUGAAUUUGUUUUGCUUGUUAAAUAUUCAUGUUUGUUAUUUUUAUAUUUUGAGAACUUUUAAAAUAAAAUUUUUCUGAAAACAA